This 263-nucleotide ribosomal RNA is filed under the name uncultured bacterium. RNAcentral's name for it is "partial 16S ribosomal RNA". It matches the Rfam family "Bacterial small subunit ribosomal RNA", at positions 99 to 353 of the family's 1533-position model. The record is from RNAcentral.
CGAACGGGUGAGUAAUACAUAAGUAACCUGCCCUAGACAGGGGGAUAACUAUUGGAAACGAUAGCUAAGACCGCAUAGGUACGGACACUGCAUGGUGACCGUAUUAAAAGUGCCUCAAAGCACUGGUAGAGGAUGGACUUAUGGCGCAUUAGCUGGUUGGCGGGGUAACGGCCCACCAAGGCGACGAUGCGUAGCCGACCUGAGAGGGUGACCGGCCACACCGGGACUGAGACACGGCCCAGACUCCUACGGGAGGCAGCAUG